Molecule: ribosomal RNA, 253 nt
Filed under: uncultured bacterium
Lineage: Bacteria
Description: partial 16S ribosomal RNA
Rfam family: Bacterial small subunit ribosomal RNA
Source: RNAcentral
UACGUAGGGUGCAAGCGUUAAUCGGAAUUACUGGGCGUAAAGCGUGCGCAGGCGGUUUUGUAAGCCUGUCGUGAAAUCCCCGGGCUUAACCUGGGAAUGGCGAUGGUGACUGCAAGGCUAGAGUUUGGCAGAGGGGGGUAGAAUUCCACGUGUAGCAGUGAAAUGCGUAGAGAUGUGGAGGAACACCGAUGGAGAAGGCAGCCCCCUGGGUCAAAACUGACGCUCAUGCACGAAAGCGUGGGGAGCAAACAGG